CCUACGGGUGGCUGCAGUGGGGAAUAUUGGACAAUGGGCGAAAGCCUGAUCCAGCCAUGCCGCGUGUGUGAAGAAGGCCUUCGGGUUGUAAAGCACUUUCAGUGGGGAAGAAAGCCUUGGGGCUAAUACCCUCGAGGAAGGACAUCACCCACAGAAGAAGCGCCGGCUAACUCCGUGCCAGCAGCCGCGGUAAUACGGAGGGUGCGAGCGUUAAUCGGAAUUACUGGGCGUAAAGCGCGCGUAGGCGGUCUGAUAAGCCGGUUGUGAAAGCCCCGGGCUCAACCUGGGAACGGCAUCCGGAACUGUCAGGCUAGAGUGCAGGAGAGGAAGGUAGAAUUCCCGGUGUAGCGGUGAAAUGCGUAGAGAUCGGGAGGAAUACCGGUGGCGAAGGCGGCCUUCUGGACUGACACUGACGCUGAGGUGCGAAAGCGUGGGUAGCAAACAGGAUUAGAUACCCCAGUAGUC
RNAcentral lists this ribosomal RNA (465 nucleotides) under Vreelandella stevensii. RNAcentral describes it as "partial 16S ribosomal RNA". It matches the Rfam family "Bacterial small subunit ribosomal RNA", at positions 338 to 795 of the family's 1533-position model. The record is from RNAcentral. Lineage: Bacteria; Pseudomonadati; Pseudomonadota; Gammaproteobacteria; Oceanospirillales; Halomonadaceae.